UACGGAGGGUGCAAGCGUUAUCCGGAUUUACUGGGUUUAAAGGGUGUGUAGGUGGGUCUGUAAGUCAGUGGUGAAAUCUCCGAGCUUAACUCGGAAACUGCCAUUGAUACUAUAGGUCUUGAAUUAUCUGGAGGUAAGCGGAAUAUGUCAUGUAGCGGUGAAAUGCUUAGAUAUGACAUAGAACACCAAUUGCGAAGGCAGCUUACUACGGAUUGAUUGACACUGAGGCACGAAAGCGUGGGGAUCAAACAGG
RNAcentral lists this ribosomal RNA (253 nucleotides) under uncultured bacterium. Its description in RNAcentral is "partial 16S ribosomal RNA". It matches the Rfam family "Bacterial small subunit ribosomal RNA", at positions 524 to 776 of the family's 1533-position model. The record is from RNAcentral.